AUUUUUUCCGCCCCGCCGGUAUACUACUAUCAUUAGCGGAGGAAAAGAAACCAACAGGGAUUGCCCUAGUAACGGCGAGUGAAGCGGCAACAGCUCAAAUUUGAAAUCUGGCCCUCGGGUCCGAGUUGUAAUUUGUAGAGGAUGCUUUUGGCGCGGUGCCUUCCGAGUUCCCUGGAACGGGACGCCUUAGAGGGUGAGAGCCCCGUACGGUUGGACACCAAGCCUCUGUAAAGCUCCUUCGACGAGUCGAGUAGUUUGGGAAUGCUGCUCUAAAUGGGAGGUAAAUUUCUUCUAAAGCUAAAUAUUGGCCAGAGACCGAUAGCGCACAAGUAGAGUGAUCGAAAGAUGAAAAGCACUUUGAAAAGAGGGUUAAAUAGCACGUGAAAUUGUUGAAAGGGAAGCGUUUGCGACCAGACCUUUUCCUGGCGGAUCAUCCGGUGUUCUCACCGGUGCACUUCGCCAGGUUGAGGCCAGCAUCGGUUUCCGCAGGGGGAUAAAAGCUCUGGGAAUGUAGCUCCCUCGGGAGUGUUAUAGCCCUCCGCAUAAUACCCUUGCGGGGACCGAGGACCGCGCUUCGGCAAGGAUGCUGGCAUAAUGGUCGUCAACGACCCGUCUUGAAACACGGACCAAGGAGUCGAACAUUUGUGCGAGUGUUUGGGUGUUAAACCCUCACGCGUAAUGAAAGUGAACGGAGGUGAGAGCCCUUACGGGUGCAUCAUCGACCGAUCCUGAUGUCUUCGGAUGGAUUUGAGUAAGAGCAUAACUGUUCGGACCCGAAAGAUGGUGAACUAUGCGUGGAUAGGGUGAAGCCAGAGGAAACUCUGGUGGAGGCUCGCAGCGGUUCUGACGUGCAAAUCGAUCGUCAAAUCUGCGCAUGGGGGCGAAAGACUAUCGAACCAUCUACGGG
Molecule: ribosomal RNA, 907 nt
Filed under: Xylaria badia
Lineage: Eukaryota; Fungi; Ascomycota; Sordariomycetes; Xylariales; Xylariaceae
Description: partial large subunit ribosomal RNA
Rfam family: Eukaryotic large subunit ribosomal RNA
Source: RNAcentral